GCAGCCCAGUCACGUAAGGCCCAACAGCAGGCCCAGAUCUGCUACACUUAUUUCAAAUUACUUCACAUGUGCCUAAAUAGUUCACAACAGAAUAACCAAUUCAUACAAGCCAGCUAAAGGCCCAAUUCAAAAUAAUGUAUUUUUCAAAUCACUAUUACUAGAUUAACACUCAAACACAUUAAUACUUCAAACCAGCUGGACUACGGAAUUGAAUCAAAUGAGACACAGACCUCUUUUAAACUUGUUUUUUUUUUACGAUCACCGGAAACAAAUUCAUGCUUAACAACACUCAUUUAAACUAACACUAACAAUUAACGAUUGGAAACUAACAUUAUUCACUACCACAUUACAGCAUACUAGACUAUUUAGAGUGUACAGUUAACCUGAAAGUCUAUGCUACUGAAUUCAGUGUUUAACUACCAAAUCUAUAAUCAAAUAAGGUGAGAUUACUGAUCCCAUAUAGUCCUCGCUAAGUACACAUUCCACAGCUUCAAAUUUCAUCGAGUGUUAAUCAGCUCAAAACAUACUUCAACUAUCAUUUAUAAUGGAAUAACAACAGACGCCUCAUCCAGCGAGCAACUGCCCAAACAUUUUAUUUCAUGCUUAAUCUCGGAGUUACAUCAUCAAUGAGUUCAUGUGUGUACCUGAAUAUUGGACAGAAAUGAGAGUAGAAAUGGUCAGUUACAGCAACAGUCAAGCAGCAGCAACAAUAUUCGAUUUCCAGCAGUAGAACGACGAUCCAGUCCAAACAAUAAACCCAGAAAUCCAGAAAUUUCAAAAAUCCAUGCAGGAAUAACAACACGAACCCAACAGCAACUUGAACAACCCACAAUCACUCGUAAACAAACCACACAAGGUACUUUUGAGACCCUUUCAACCAAACAACAACAGAGACGAACUCAAAUUCAAAAUGCACUCAGCUUCUAUCUAUCAGCUAUCAAUUGUGGAAUCAGAAUAUCGACAUUAAUUAGACCAACUUGAGAUUGAAUCAAAGUGAUCAAUGGAACAAUAACACUUUUUUUUUUUGGAUUUUUGAGUUUUGUUCUAUUUUUUUUUUUGAUUUUUUUUGAAAUUUGAAUUCCUAUUUAAGAUCUGGAACAAAAAAACUAAUGAGAGGGGCUUGUUUUUUCAGUUCAAAGAUGACUGGAAAUCAAAAGAAGAACCCCUAACAAAACAAUUGUGAUCCCUUUAAUAGACAACCCAGGUGAAUGGUCAGAUUUUUGCUUUUAUUUCAAGUCUCUAUUUAAUUUCAACUUCAAUCCCCUACUUCUUGCCCUGUGACUCAAGUCAACCCUCUAUGUUAACUGAAAUAUGCCUUAACACCUACACCUAGAAGCUUCUAGGAAAUUCUAGCUAAAUUCCCUACCCCAAAUUACCCCAAUUGCCCUUAAUUUAACCCAAAAUUACUAAACAGAACAGCUAUAUCCAAAAGAGUCCUAGGGUCUGAACUUUCAACUAAAAAAAAUAUAAUCCUAUCUACUGGGAUGAAUUAACAGCAAAUAUUAAGAAUAAAUUAAGAAUUAACAGCAAAUAUUAAGCAAAUUAACAUUCAAACAAAUAUGUAAUCAAACAGAAUUACAACUAAAAUUAAGAAUCAUUAUUCAAACGGCCAAACUGAGACAAACCUAAUGAAUAACUAAUUAAUCACCUAAAAUUAGUAUGAAUCAAGCAGAUAGGGAUCAACAAGAAAGAUGAAAAAGAAAAGUUAUUAAUCCCAGACUAAACAUUGUUACCAAACAAAUUAAGAAGCUAUAUAAUCCUAGGAAAUCAGUGAAUAUCAACAGAGGAAAAUCAAAAAUAAGAAAAUGCACUCGAAAACUUACUGAUUCAUUUCAAAACUCCAAUUAAAUUUCCAAGUUUGAACACGACCAGCUCCGGCGGGAACAAAGCUCGAUUGAUGACCUAUUCAUUACGAGGAAGGCCCAGAGACUCUAUGGCGUCACUUGCAUGCGUUUGGGCAUUUUAGGGUUUGGCCGGAAAGUCUUCGAGUUCAAAUUCGAGCAAAUCGGGCAAUAUUUGAGGGACACAAUUAUGGGGGUUGGAUAGAGGAAGAUUAGGCGGUUCUAUGGUGUUAUUUUGGGGUCAUUUGGGGUAACCGGCGUCGUGGCCGGAAAACUUUGGACGAAUAUUCGAAGAGCUGGGCUGGGUUUUGAAGGGAGCUGUUUGUAGAUUUGAGAUGAGGGAGAAGAGAGGAUCACGGGGUGUUAAUUUGGGCGUGAAUGGUGACGGCGACGUUCACCGGCGGCGGCUCCGCCGGUGGUGCUACAGAGAGAUACGAGGAAGAUGAAUACGGUCGUUUAGGGCUAUACGUAUAUUAGGACAGUUUUAUUAUAAACCCAAGAGCCAAUUGUGGCCGUUAGAUCAAGGAGAAUUGACAGCCAAGAUUAGAUGGUGAGAGGACG
RNAcentral lists this long non-coding RNA (2402 nucleotides) under Nicotiana tabacum (common tobacco). Its description in RNAcentral is "long non-coding RNA (NTAB_LNC005592)". The record is from RNAcentral. Lineage: Eukaryota; Viridiplantae; Streptophyta; Magnoliopsida; Solanales; Solanaceae.